GAUGAACGCUGGCGGCGUGCUUAACACAUGCAAGUCGAACGAAGCGCUACCGACGGAACUUUUCGGAGGGAAGAUGGUAAUGACUGAGUGGCGGACGGGUGAGUAACGCGUGGGUAACCUGCCUCACAGAGGGGGACAACAGCCGGAAACGGCUGCUAAUACCGCAUAAUAAAGAAUCUCCGCAUGAAGGUUCUUUCAAAGAUUUAUCGCUGUGAGAUGGACCCGCGUCUGAUUAGCUAGUUGGCAGGGUAACGGCCUACCAAGGCGACGAUCAGUAGCCGGCUUGAGAGAGUGAACGGCCACAUUGGGACUGAGACACGGCCCAG
RNAcentral lists this ribosomal RNA (326 nucleotides) under uncultured bacterium. Its description in RNAcentral is "bacterial SSU rRNA". It matches the Rfam family "Bacterial small subunit ribosomal RNA", at positions 28 to 334 of the family's 1533-position model. The record is from RNAcentral.